UCCUUGUGAGAUGGAGAACGCUGGGGGACCAAGGAGAGAAAAAGGAGCUCCCCAGAAGACAACAAGCAAAACUAAGCGACCUCACAUCCCCUAAAAGGAUGGGUUUCCAAGGCCAUGGCAGUGGUUUUGCUAAGCCUGCUCAGACAGAAACAUUCUUCCUCUGUCACGUGGAUGUUGUUUUAUUACAUCCACCUCAGAAACGUACGUGCUGCCAUUCACAGCAACAGCAUGGACAGGAGCACGCAGCUCACUCCCUUGGAGAAGCCUGUUAGCAGCACCAGAUCGAGGUUUCGGUUUUCCUGACCUGUGACAAAUCAGCAUGAGCCUCAGCUGAAAGCAAGAGCCAAGAAAGAAAGAGUAGAGGAAGACACAGACACACGCACACAAAAAGAAAAAGCAAGAAACAGGUUUCAGCAAGGUUGCUCUGCCUCAAUCUCU
This 438-nucleotide long non-coding RNA is filed under the name Gallus gallus (chicken). Its description in RNAcentral is "long non-coding RNA NONGGAT011623". Lineage: Eukaryota; Metazoa; Chordata; Aves; Galliformes; Phasianidae. The record is from RNAcentral.